Camelus ferus (Wild Bactrian camel) is the source of this 72-nucleotide transfer RNA. It matches the Rfam family "tRNA". From Rfam's summary of the family: Transfer RNA (tRNA) molecules are approximately 80 nucleotides in length. Their secondary structure includes four short double-helical elements and three loops (D, anti-codon, and T loops). NCBI's taxonomy places the organism in Eukaryota, Metazoa, Chordata, Mammalia, Artiodactyla, Camelidae. The record is from Rfam.
GAGGGUAUAGCUCAGUGGUAGAGCGCAUGCCUACCAUGCACGAGGUCCUGGGUUUAAUCCCCAGUCCCUCCA